UAUGUGAUCGUCUCUCGCAUAUCAAUAAGCGGAGGAAAAGAAACUAACAAGGAUUCCCCUAGUAACGGCGAGUGAAGCGGGAAGAGCUCAAAUUUGAAAUCUUAAAGGGUUUCCCCUUACGAAUUGUAGUUUAAAGAAGUGUUUUCUGUUGAGGUUUUGGUAAAAGUUCUUUGGAAUAGGACAUCAUAGAGGGUGAGAAUCCCGUAUUUGACCAUUACUUUCAACUUUGUGAUACACUUUCAAAGAGUCGGAUUGUUUGGGAAUGCAGUCCAAAAUGGGUGGUAAAUUUCAUCCUAAAGCUAAAUAUUGGCGAGAGACCGAUAGCGAACAAGUACCGUGAGGGACAGAUGAAAAGAACUUUGAAAAGAGAGUUAAACAGUACGUGAAAUUGUCAAAAGGGAAGCGUUUGACACCAGUGUUGUUUUUCUGAAAAUCAAUUAAAGAACUGUUUAUGCUAAGCUGUUUAGACUUUAUCAGCUAUCUGUUUAGUUUUAGGCUUUUCUUUAAUGCACUUUUCAGUUAACAAGUCAACAUCAAUUUCUUUUGCUGUAAAAAAGCUUGAGGAAGGUGGCUUGAGAUUCGUCUUAAGUGUUUAUAGCCUCCUGCCUAUGCAGUCGGAGAGAUUGAGGUCUGCAGCGUAGAUCCUUCGGGGCUAAAUGCAUUUGUGCUAAGUUAUAGCAUUUUAUAGACAACUUGUUGACUAUGAUUUGUCUUGUAGCUUACUCGCUUAUGUUAUUUUACCUACGCUUAGGAUGUUGAUCUACAGAGCGAGAGU
Molecule: ribosomal RNA, 775 nt
Filed under: uncultured Neocallimastigales
Lineage: Eukaryota; Fungi; Neocallimastigomycota; Neocallimastigomycetes; Neocallimastigales
Description: partial large subunit ribosomal RNA
Rfam family: Eukaryotic large subunit ribosomal RNA
Source: RNAcentral